RNAcentral lists this ribosomal RNA (278 nucleotides) under uncultured Alistipes sp. RNAcentral describes it as "partial 16S ribosomal RNA". It matches the Rfam family "Bacterial small subunit ribosomal RNA", at positions 511 to 788 of the family's 1533-position model. Lineage: Bacteria; Pseudomonadati; Bacteroidota; Bacteroidia; Bacteroidales; Rikenellaceae. The record is from RNAcentral.
GCAGCCGCGGUAAUACGUAGGUGGCGAGCGUUAUCCGGAUUUACUGGGUGUAAAGGGUGUGUAGGCGGGAAAGCAAGUCAGAUGUGAAAUAUCAAGGCUCAACCUUGAUCCUGCAUUUGAAACUGUUUUUCUUGAGUAUGGGAGAGGUAAGCGGAAUUCCCGGUGUAGCGGUGAAAUGCGUAGAUAUCGGGAAGAACACCGGUGGCGAAGGCGGCUUACUGGACCACAACUGACGCUGAGACACGAAAGCGUGGGGAGCAAACAGGAUUAGAUACCCC